Molecule: long non-coding RNA, 582 nt
Organism: Gasterosteus aculeatus aculeatus (three-spined stickleback)
Lineage: Eukaryota; Metazoa; Chordata; Actinopteri; Perciformes; Gasterosteidae
Source: Ensembl
CGGCGGCAGGACGAGAUUGGAAACAAAAGGAAUUAAAUGGAGAAUAACAAAGAACGAAGAGCCGAUGAAGAGCAAACAUGGACAUGGAGAGAUGGACAGAAACCUUUAAACAUGACGAAUUACAAUACUGUCCUCACCUAAUGCUUUUAACACAUCCCUAUAAGAGGCCUUAAUCAGUCAGUUCAAACGAUGUUGGAAUGAAGGAGUGACAUCGUGCUUGUGUGCUGAGGCUGCUCGAACGUUUCAUAUCUGCUUCGUCAUUUAGGCUAGUUGACUUCCAACUUUAUAUAAAAAGUACAGGGACAAUAAGUAAAAGGUAUUUUCUGUCUCUCUGUAAUUUUAUGUUGGCACUCGCAAGCCAGUAAUCCAGAUUUUUCCUCCACUUCCUUUUAUCAGUGUGGAGUUAAUAAGAGCCUGCAGUGUAAUAUGUCCCUGUCUCAUUCCACUGCUGUGCGCCCUGCUUGACUGCACGGUAAUAUAAUUGUUUCAUGGACACAUGCUUGCAAACAGUCACAUACUGUAAAUACAAAGCCAUGUACACAUACACAACAUGCCUUAACCCAAACGCACAGUCAGAGCCGG